AGACGGAGGGGGCUAGCGUUGUUCGGAAUUACUGGGCGUAAAGCGCGCGUAGGCGGUCCGUUUAGUUAGGCGUGAAAGGCCUGGGCUCAACCCGGGAACUGCGCUUAAUACUGGUAGGCUUGAGUCCGGGAGAGGGUGGCGGAAUCCCCAGUGUAGAGGUGAAAUUCGUAGAUAUUGGGAAGAACACCAGUGGCGAAGGCGGCCACCUGGCCCGGUACUGACGCUGAGGUGCGAAAGCGUGGGGAGCAAACAGGAUUAGAAACCCCAGUAGUCC
This 274-nucleotide ribosomal RNA is filed under the name uncultured bacterium. RNAcentral describes it as "partial 16S ribosomal RNA". It matches the Rfam family "Bacterial small subunit ribosomal RNA", at positions 523 to 796 of the family's 1533-position model. The record is from RNAcentral.